This 497-nucleotide ribosomal RNA is filed under the name uncultured bacterium. Its description in RNAcentral is "partial 16S ribosomal RNA". It matches the Rfam family "Bacterial small subunit ribosomal RNA", at positions 28 to 507 of the family's 1533-position model. The record is from RNAcentral.
GAUGAACGCUGGCGGCGUGCCUAAUACAUGCAAGUCGAGCGAACGGACGAGAAGCUUUCUUCUCUGAUGUUAGCGGCGGACGGGUGAGUAACACGUGGAUAACCUACCUAUAAGACUGGGAUAACUUCGGGAAACCGGAGCUAAUACCGGAUGAUAUUUUGAACCGCAUGGUUCAAAAGUGAAAGACAGUCUUGCUGUCACUUAUAGAUGGAUCCGCGCUGCAUUAGCUAGUUGGUAAGGUAACGGCUUACCAAGGCAACGAUGCAUAGCCGACCUGAGAGGGUGAUCGGCCACACUGGAACUGAGACACGGUCCAGACUCCUACGGGAGGCAGCAGUAGGGAAUCUUCCGCAAUGGGCGAAAGCCUGACGGAGCAACGCCGCGGGAGUGAUGAAGGUCUUCGGAUCGUAAAACUCUGUUAUUAGGGAAGAACAUAUGUGUAAGUAACUGUGCACAUCUUGACGGUACCUAAUCAGAAAGCCACGGCUAACUACGUG